CCAUCCUAAUAAGAACUGUUGGUCAGCGCUCUGUGCUUAAACAAAGAGCGGUUCCCUCAUUCCUGGCAGCAGGCUCCUCCGUCCAGCCAUGUACACCGCAGGGGACAACUGCCUCAAAGGGUGCGGUUCCCUCAUCCCUGGCAGCAGGCUCCUUCUUCCAGCCAGGUACACCGCAGGGGACGAGUGCCUCGAAGGGUGCGGUUCCCUCAUUUCUG
Long non-coding RNA from Ixodes scapularis (black-legged tick), 215 nucleotides. RefSeq lists it as uncharacterized. NCBI's taxonomy places the organism in Eukaryota, Metazoa, Arthropoda, Arachnida, Ixodida, Ixodidae. The transcript is spliced from 4 exons. The record is from RefSeq and is a predicted model, not a curated record.